GCUCAUAUAGCUCAGUCGGUAGAGCACUUCCUUGGUAAGGAAGAGGUCAUCGGUUCAAAUCCGAUUAUGAGCUCCA
This 76-nucleotide transfer RNA is filed under the name Kineobactrum sediminis. RNAcentral's name for it is "tRNA-Thr". It matches the Rfam family "tRNA". From Rfam's summary of the family: Transfer RNA (tRNA) molecules are approximately 80 nucleotides in length. RNAcentral also lists the same sequence under 2 other names. Lineage: Bacteria; Pseudomonadati; Pseudomonadota; Gammaproteobacteria; Cellvibrionales; Halieaceae. The record is from RNAcentral.